Molecule: non-coding RNA, 72 nt
Organism: Phrynosoma platyrhinos (Desert horned lizard)
Lineage: Eukaryota; Metazoa; Chordata; Lepidosauria; Squamata; Phrynosomatidae
Source: the annotation of a GenBank genome assembly
GCCAGCAUAGCAUAGUGGUUUGAGUAUUGGACUGCAACUACAGAGACCAGGGUUAGAUUCCCUGCUCAACCA